UAGGGAAUCUUCGGCAAUGGGGGGAACCCUGACCGAGCAACGCCGCGUGAGUGAAGAAGGUUUUCGGAUCGUAAAGCUCUGUUGUUAAGGAAGAACGAGUGUGAGAAUGGAAAGUUCAUACUGUGACGGUACUUAACCAGAAAGGGACGGCUAACUACGUGCCAGCAGCCGCGGUAAUACGUAGGUCCCGAGCGUUGUCCGGAUUUAUUGGGCGUAAAGCGAGCGCAGGCGGUCAAUUUAGUCUGAUGUGAAAGCCCCCGGCUCAACCGGGGAGGGUCAUUGGAAACUGGUUGACUUGAGUGCAGAAGAGGAGAGUGGAAUUCCAUGUGUAGCGGUGAAAUGCGUAGAUAUAUGGAGGAACACCAGUGGCGAAGGCGACUCUCUGGUCUGUAACUGACGCUGAGGCUCGAAAGCGUGGGUAGCAAACAGG
This 430-nucleotide ribosomal RNA is filed under the name Bacteroidota bacterium. RNAcentral's name for it is "Bacteroidetes bacterium partial 16S ribosomal RNA". It matches the Rfam family "Bacterial small subunit ribosomal RNA", at positions 355 to 776 of the family's 1533-position model. Lineage: Bacteria; Pseudomonadati; Bacteroidota. The record is from RNAcentral.